RNAcentral lists this ribosomal RNA (492 nucleotides) under uncultured bacterium. RNAcentral describes it as "partial 16S ribosomal RNA". It matches the Rfam family "Bacterial small subunit ribosomal RNA", at positions 29 to 507 of the family's 1533-position model. The record is from RNAcentral.
AGUGAACGCUGGCGGUAGGCCUAACACAUGCAAGUCGAACGGCAGCACAGUAAGAGCUUGCUCUUACGGGUGGCGAGUGGCGGACGGGUGAGGAAUACAUCGGAAUCUACUUUUUCGUGGGGGAUAACGUAGGGAAACUUACGCUAAUACCGCAUACGACCUACGGGUGAAAGCAGGGGAUCUUCGGACCUUGCGCGAUUGAAUGAGCCGAUGUCGGAUUAGCUAGUUGGCGGGGUAAAGGCCCACCAAGGCGACGAUCCGUAGCUGGUCUGAGAGGAUGAACAGCCGCACUGGAACUGAGACACGGUCCAGACUCCUACGGGAGGCAGCAGUGGGGAAUAUUGGACAAAGGGCGCAAGCCUGAUCCAGCCAUACCGCGUGGGUGAAGAAGGCCUUCGGGUUGUAAAGCCCUUUUGUUGGGAAAGAAAAGCAGCAGGUUAAUACCCCGCUGUUCUGACGGUACCCAAAGAAUAAGCACCGGCUAACUUCGUG